RNAcentral lists this ribosomal RNA (710 nucleotides) under Roseovarius sp. Its description in RNAcentral is "bacterial SSU rRNA". It matches the Rfam family "Bacterial small subunit ribosomal RNA", at positions 40 to 795 of the family's 1533-position model. The record is from RNAcentral. Lineage: Bacteria; Pseudomonadati; Pseudomonadota; Alphaproteobacteria; Rhodobacterales; Roseobacteraceae.
CGGAGGGCGCAGCUACACAUGCAGUCGAGCGAGAACUUCGGUUCUAGCGGCGGACGGGUUAGUAACGCGUGGGAACGUGCCCUUCACUACGGAAUAGUCCCGGGAAACUGGGUUUAAUACCGUAUACGCCCUUCGGGGGAAAGAAUUUCGGUGAAGGAUCGGCCCGCGUUAGAUUAGAUAGUUGGUGGGGUAACGGCCUACCAAGUCUACGAUCUAUAGCUGGUUUUAGAGGAUGAUCAGCAACACUGGGACUGAGACACGGCCCAGACUCCUACGGGAGGCAGCAGUGGGGAAUCUUAGACAAUGGGCGCAAGCCUGAUCUAGCCAUGCCGCGUGAGUGAUGAAGGCCUUAGGGUCGUAAAGCUCUUUCGCCAGGGAUGAUAAUGACAGUACCUGGUAAAGAAACCCCGGCUAACUCCGUGCCAGCAGCCGCGGUAAUACGGAGGGGGUUAGCGUUGUUCGGAAUUACUGGGCGUAAAGCGCGCGUAGGCGGAUUGGAAAGUUGGGGGUGAAAUCCCAGGGCUCAACCCUGGAACUGCCUCCAAAACUAUCAGUCUAGAGUUCGAGAGAGGUGAGUGGAACUCCGAGUGUAGAGGUGAAAUUCGUAGAUAUUCGGAAGAACACCAGUGGCGAAGGCGGCUCACUGGCUCGAUACUGACGCUGAGGUGCGAAAGUGUGGGGAGCAAACAGGAUUAGAUACCCUGGUAGUC